Molecule: non-coding RNA, 72 nt
Organism: Bos taurus (domestic cattle)
Lineage: Eukaryota; Metazoa; Chordata; Mammalia; Artiodactyla; Bovidae
Source: Rfam
UUCCUGGCAGUCCAGUGGUUAGGACUCAGCACUUUCACUGCUGCAGCCUGGAUUCAACCCUUGGUCAGGGAA